GAAGGUAUAGCUCAGUGGUAGAGCGCACACCUAGCAUGCAUGAGGUCCUGGGUUCAAUCUCCAGUACCUCCA
This 72-nucleotide transfer RNA is filed under the name Camelus bactrianus (Bactrian camel). It matches the Rfam family "tRNA". Rfam says of the family: Transfer RNA (tRNA) molecules are approximately 80 nucleotides in length. RNAcentral also lists the same sequence under 2 other names. Lineage: Eukaryota; Metazoa; Chordata; Mammalia; Artiodactyla; Camelidae. The record is from Rfam by way of RNAcentral.